Molecule: ribosomal RNA, 253 nt
Filed under: uncultured bacterium
Lineage: Bacteria
Description: partial 16S ribosomal RNA
Rfam family: Bacterial small subunit ribosomal RNA
Source: RNAcentral
UACGUAGGGUGCGAGCGUUGUCCGGAAUUAUUGGGCGUAAAGGGCUCGUAGGCGGUUUGUCGCGUCGGGAGUGAAAACCAGGUGCUUAACACCUGGCUUGCUUUCGAUACGGGCAGACUAGAGGUAUGCAGGGGAGAACGGAAUUCCUGGUGUAGCGGUGAAAUGCGCAGAUAUCAGGAGGAACACCGGUGGCGAAGGCGAGUCCCUGGACAACACCUGACACUGAGGCACGAAAGCUAGGGGAGCAAACAGG